This is a transfer RNA of Nicotiana attenuata, 59 nucleotides long. It matches the Rfam family "tRNA", at positions 7 to 64 of the family's 71-position model. From Rfam's summary of the family: Transfer RNA (tRNA) molecules are approximately 80 nucleotides in length. Their secondary structure includes four short double-helical elements and three loops (D, anti-codon, and T loops). The record is from Rfam. Lineage: Eukaryota; Viridiplantae; Streptophyta; Magnoliopsida; Solanales; Solanaceae.
GUUAUUCUAAGCUCGAAUUCUGGUCUGGGAAACCAGAGAUUCUGGGUUCGAUCCCCAGC